AAUGGAUAGUUAACAGUGUGGCCGUGUGUACUUUGUUAUGUGCACAUUAUUAAUUGUUCAUAUUCAUUACAGUUAAUGCAGCCGAAGCAACCACUGCAAGAUUUGGUCAGACUCCAAAAGAGACUUCCAAAAGUUCCAACUCAUCUCCCACGAAGUCUCCAGACGUGGUGACCCCACCAAGAUCUGCAUCAUCAGCCACAUCAUCUAAAGCUACUACAACGGUAUCAAUCCCUAUCACUACCAAGCAGACUCAAAAAGCAACUUCUAACACCAAGAAUCAGAAGUCAUCAACCAAGACCGCUCCUGCAUCCGGCGCACCCUCAAAAGCUACUACAACCGUAACAAUCCCUAGCAGUACCAAGCAAACUCCAAAAGCACCUGUUACGAAGUCAUCAAUCGUGACCACUCCUACAUCAGUCGC
Long non-coding RNA from Ostrinia furnacalis (Asian corn borer), 421 nucleotides. RefSeq lists it as uncharacterized. Lineage: Eukaryota; Metazoa; Arthropoda; Insecta; Lepidoptera; Crambidae. The record is from RefSeq and is a predicted model, not a curated record. The transcript has 3 exons.